CCGAACUUGGGGUGGUGAAUGUAUUUAGGAGGAAGAGGUGGAAACUUUGGAAGUGGUGGGAGCUGUGGAAGUGGCGGACAUGGCUUCUUUGGAAUCACCACUACCGGUGGUUUGUAUACUGGUACCGGCGGAGGGCAUGGCUUCUUGGGGAUCACAACCGGUGGUUUGUAUAUUGGUACCGGCGGAGGACACGGCUUCUUCACAAUUGGUGGUAUGUAGAUUGGUGGAUGCUCUAUCUUCGGCGGCGGCUUGUAAACCGGAACUGGAGGUGGGUGCUCUAUCUUCGGCGGUGGAAUGACUAUCUUUGGCGGCGGCUUGUGGACUGGAACCGGCGGUGGAUCAACUUUCUUAGGCGGACAAGGCUUCUUCGUUGGUGGUUUGUGGACUGGCACCGGCGGUGGAUCAACUUUCUUAGGCGGACAUGGCUUCUUCGGUAGCUUGUGUACCGGAACGGGAGGUGGGUGCUCUAUCUUUGGCGGGGGCUUGUAAACCGGAACCGGAGGUGGCUUCUCUAUCUUUGGCGGUGGCUUGUAAACCGGAACCGGAGGUGGGUGCUCUAUCUUCGGCGGUUUAGGUGGACAAGGCUUCUUAGGAAUAGGCGGUGGAAGCUCCACCUUUGGUGGUGGCUUGUAAACUGGGACAGGUGGUGGAACCUCUUUCUUAGGCGGUGGAUCGUAAACCGGAACCGGCGGGGGAAUCUCUUUCUUUGGCGGCGGCUCGUAAACUGGUACCGGGG
Molecule: long non-coding RNA, 736 nt
Filed under: Arabidopsis thaliana (thale cress)
Lineage: Eukaryota; Viridiplantae; Streptophyta; Magnoliopsida; Brassicales; Brassicaceae
Description: long non-coding RNA (ATHA_LNC000330)
Source: RNAcentral